This 497-nucleotide ribosomal RNA is filed under the name uncultured bacterium. RNAcentral describes it as "partial 16S ribosomal RNA". It matches the Rfam family "Bacterial small subunit ribosomal RNA", at positions 27 to 507 of the family's 1533-position model. The record is from RNAcentral.
GGGGGGGGGGGGGGGGGGGGGUGGGGGGGGCGGGGGGGGCGGGCAGACGAGGAGCUUGCUCCUGUGACGUUAGCGGCGGACGGGUGAGUAACACGUGGAUAACCUACCUAUAAGACUGGGAUAACUUCGGGAAACCGGAGCUAAUACCGGAUAAUAUAUUGAACCGCAUGGUUCAAUAGUGAAAGACGGUUUUGCUGUCACUUAUAGAUGGAUCCGCGCCGCAUUAGCUAGUUGGUAAGGUAACGGCUUACCAAGGCAACGAUGCGUAGCCGACCUGAGAGGGUGAUCGGCCACACUGGAACUGAGACACGGUCCAGACUCCUACGGGAGGCAGCAGUAGGGAAUCUUCCGCAAUGGGCGAAAGCCUGACGGAGCAACGCCGCGUGAGUGAUGAAGGUCUUCGGAUCGUAAAACUCUGUUAUUAGGGAAGAACAAAUGUGUAAGUAACUAUGCACGUCUUGACGGUACCUAAUCAGAAAGCCACGGCUAACUACGUG